GACGAACGCUGGCGGCGUGCUUAACACAUGCAAGUCGAACGAAGAGCGAUGGACGCUUGCUUCUAUCAAUCUUAGUGGCGAACGGGUGAGUAACGCGUAAUCAACCUGCCCUUCAGAGGGGGACAACAGUUGGAAACGACUGCUAAUACCGCAUACGAUCCAAUCUCGGCAUCGGGACUGGAUGAAAGGUGGCCUCUAUUUAUAAGCUAUCACUGAAGGAGGGGAUUGCGUCUGAUUAGCUAGUUGGAGGGGUAACGGCCCACCAAGGCGAUGAUCAGUAGCCGGUCUGCGAGGAUGAACGGCCACAUUGGGACUGAGACACGGCCCAGACUCCUACGGGAGGCAGCAGUGGGGAAUCUUCCGCAAUGGACGAAAGUCUGACGGAGCAACGCCGCGUGAGUGAUGACGGCCUUCGGGUUGUAAAGCUCUGUUAAUCGGGACGAAUGGUUCUUGUGCGAAUAGUGCGAGGAUUUGACGGUACCGGAAUAGAAAGCCACGGCUAACUACGUG
This 510-nucleotide ribosomal RNA is filed under the name uncultured bacterium. Its description in RNAcentral is "partial 16S ribosomal RNA". It matches the Rfam family "Bacterial small subunit ribosomal RNA", at positions 28 to 507 of the family's 1533-position model. The record is from RNAcentral.